AUAGGUGGGAGGCUUUGAAGCUGGAACGCUAGUUCCAGUGGAGCCGUCCUUGAAAUACCACCCUGGUAAUGUUGAGGUUCUAACUCUGUCCCGUGAUCCGGGACGAGGACCGUGUCUGGUGGGUAGUUUGACUGGGGCGGUCUCCUCCUAAAGAGUAACGGAGGAGUACGAAGGUGCGCUCAGCGUGGUCGGAAAUCACGCGUAGAGUAUAAAGGCAAAAGCGC
RNAcentral lists this ribosomal RNA (224 nucleotides) under Pseudomonas aeruginosa. Its description in RNAcentral is "partial 23S ribosomal RNA". It matches the Rfam family "Bacterial large subunit ribosomal RNA", at positions 2143 to 2366 of the family's 2925-position model. Lineage: Bacteria; Pseudomonadati; Pseudomonadota; Gammaproteobacteria; Pseudomonadales; Pseudomonadaceae. The record is from RNAcentral.